ACACUCCUGCGGGAGGCAGCAGUGGGGAAUAUUGGACAAUGGGCGCAAGCCUGAUCCAGCCAUGCCGCGUGAGUGAUGAAGGCCCUAGGGUUGUAAAGCUCUUUCACCGGUGAAGAUAAUGACGGUAACCGGAGAAGAAGCCCCGGCUAACUUCGUGCCAGCAGCCGCGGUAAUACGAAGGGGGCUAGCGUUGUUCGGAUUUACUGGGCGUAAAGCGCACGUAGGCGGACUAUUAAGUCAGGGGUGAAAUCCCGGGGCUCAACCCCGGAACUGCCUUUGAUACUGGUAGUCUUGAGUUCGAGAGAGGUGGGUGGAAUUCCGAGUGUAGAGGUGAAAUUCGUAGAUAUUCGGAGGAACACCAGUGGCGAAGGCGGCUCACUGGCUCGAUACUGACGCUGAGGUGCGAAAGCGUGGGGAGCAAACAGGAUUAGAUACCCGUGUAGUCC
This 446-nucleotide ribosomal RNA is filed under the name uncultured organism. RNAcentral describes it as "partial 16S ribosomal RNA". It matches the Rfam family "Bacterial small subunit ribosomal RNA", at positions 333 to 796 of the family's 1533-position model. The record is from RNAcentral.